CUGGUGGCAAACAAAUGAUAGUCCUGAAGCAAGGGCAGCAGCUAAUCACAGCUGAUGGCAAGACAAUCCAACAGCAGCAGCCAAUGCAGCAAAUGAUAAUUGUGAAAGGUUCAUCACCGGAUAAAACGCAACAACAACAACAAUCAGUCAGCAGCAACUGCAGCAAUUACUCCUCAAACAACAACAACAGCAGCAGCAGCAGCAACAACAACAGCAACAGCAGAGCGAGGGUAAAACAUCAAUAACAACCACUGUCAGCCAGGCGCAGUUGCAGCAACUUCUAGCAAAGCAGCAGUUCAUGGUACUUAAACAGCAAGGGAAACAAGGGCAAGGGCAGAUAAAAUUAGUCCCAUCAGGCACAACGGUGUCCGGUCAACCUCAAAUUAAGCUGACGCAGACAAUAUCCACAGCUCAGUUGCAGAAGAUGCAGCCUAGAAUAAUUUCAACGCAGAAACCUCUGACACCUGUGUCCACGACUGUCCAAGCCAUAAGCUCAGCGAGCAGUUCUCUAGCAAGUGGUACGAAUAUCAUCAAACCAGUUCAGUCUGUCAUGACGAAGGUUGUCUCCAACGCUCAAACAGAAUCGGUCGUAACAGUGGGAAAUCUCCUGGCGAACCAAAAGCAACAGACUGUGAUAUCUUCCGAUGGAAGUAUACGUGUAGCAGACAAACCAAGUAUAGGUUCUCAUCAGUAUACAGUUGUGUCGAUGGGAGAGGGUCAGUCGAGGGUCAUUCAAUCAACUCAGUUGGUUCAGGCAAGUACGAAUCUGACAAAUGCACGGAACAUUGCGACGAAAACAGCAAAUUUGAGGGUUCUGCAAAGUCCGACAAGUAUCAACCUCGCUCAGCUCGCUGGAAAACCUGUCAUUCUUUCCCAGAAAACUCAAGGCAUCCAAGGCCAGAACAUGGUCAUAGCCAGCAGUAGCGCAAAUACAAGUGGACAGCAAACUAUCCUGCUACCACAAAGUAUUAAGCAGCCAAGCGGUAGUAACACAGUGACAGUUUUGCAGUCCGGAGGUGUGCCUCAACAAAUAUUGUUGCCAGCAGGUUUUCAAGGGGGCACUCUAAAUAUCAAAGCUCUUCAAGGUCUCAAAGUGAUACCUGUGGCCCAGUCUACCCAAGUACAAAAAGGUCAACGCCAAAUGUUCGCUCGAAUAAUCAGUCCAGACAGCACGACCAAAAUCAUCCCGGAGCAGACGAACCUUAACAACUCCCAAGUUGCUGAACAGAGUAACUUGCAGGAAAAAAUGAAAUACGCAACAAAUACUGAGGGGCGUUACAUAAUUACAGAUAUUAGAUAGCACCACUGCCAAAUCCUCCAAGAUAUCAGUUGCUUUCCAUGCUACGCAGUGGCAUAUUCGUGUAAACAUUGUAAUAUAACUCUGACUCAGGGGUAAGUUUUAAUAAAUGAAAGGUGGCAAUAUUGUAACAGAGAAUAUGUACCUAAUUUGCCAUUUUAGUUGUGCUGGUGAAUUGUAUUCGCUUUCUGACCUCUCAUUACUGCUUCUAAAAGAAAUGGUCUGUGACCGUAAGAUACAGUAAAAAUGCAAGGACAGUUGAAAUAGUAUAACUAUUUGUUUGAACUAUGGGAAAUUGAAUAUUUUAAACUUUCUGUAGUGAAUUGUACAAUUCUCUUAAUUCAAAUUUUGAAUGUUUGCCACUCCAGCCAUGUACAUCUCCUUGUACUGCCAUGCCACGGAAAACGCUUUUAGAGUUGCCAGAGAGCGCUCAGACAUUGCCAAAUUUCCUUUGAUACAAUACGAAUUUUUAGCAAAAUCUGAGAAUAUUUUUCCUCCAAUUUUUCAGAACAUAUUAUCUCUUUCAGAUUUAAAUUAAUUGAAAACUGCAAAAGAAAAUACUGACAGCUUUCUUUUAAAAUGGAAAUUUUACUGGAGGAAAUUUGGCAACUCUCGAUUGUUCAUACGGCGGUUUUCCUCAGCACAGCAGUGUAGAAGGAACUAGGAAUGUUGGUAAGAAUGAGAUGAAGAAAAUUAUAAUGUGAUAUUUUGAGGGUUUUCCUCUCCAAGUGCAAUGAAUGAAAUGUGUGUAUAAUUUAUUUGUUCGAAGGUUGUUUUUUCGUACUCUUGAAUUUGUGUGAUUUCCUUUUGUUUCCCUCUUCUUUUUCCUUCCUUGACUAGUGAAGUUACUUUCGAUAAAAUUAAUGUUAAAGAAAGACUGAAUUUUUAAUAUUCAUCAAAUCUUAAAUCUUUCAUGUAAAGUGGUUGUUUCUCUUGUAUUUAUAUUUUCAAAUGCUGUCAGUAUCAUGCAAGAUGAGCACUGAGCUUCUCAGUCGUGUUAAAAGAGCCUAGAGAAGUUUUUGUCUAUGCAUUGUGAGUGUUCUCUUAAUACGUUGAAAAAAUUCUGCCCUAAGACCAAAGCACAUUUUCUUGAUAGUGCUGAAAGAGUUGUACUGAAACUGGCUAAAAAAUUACCUCCUUUAACGCACCAAUUUCAUAAUAUCUUUGGAAAGUAACAAAAAUGAAGAAAACAUUUUCAAAUAAUUUACAUUGAGGAGCAUAAGUCAGGUUCUUAUUGUCAAAAUGUGGAUGAUACAAAUGAACAAGAAUUAUAAAUACUCCUAUCAAUGAGAAGUUGGUCUGUUGCACGCAAGAGAUACAGCAAAGUCAAUAUAGAUGCUUUACAAAUGAAAUAGCACGAAAAUCGCAUUAGAGUCAUCAGAAAAGUCUCAUACUCUUUCUUCAGCAUACAAUCUGUGUAGUUUGUAACAUGCUUUUUCAAAUUUACUGCGGCUGUGGGCAGUUUUUUUCAGUGGCCGGUAGGCCAGCAGUCAAGUUUGCUCGGAGAGAUAUCAAGAAUACCUCACCUAUGUAAACAAACAAUCUCACAAACUGUUAAAAACUUCCCUGAUGCAAGAUUUCAAUUGAUUCAAAGCAUUUGUUUGUGCAAAACGAAAAAAAGGAACACUGAAAAACAAUUACAUAUAAUCAUACUCUAGAAAAAGUUUACGAAAUUGUUUGUUUAUUCAGGUGGGAUCUUUAUAUUAUGUGUCCAUCUUGAUUUUUGUGCGAUUUGACCCAUAAAUAUAUUUACUGGACUACAUAUAUCUCUUGCAUGCAACGGACUCAUUGAAAGCAAUCAAUCAAACUGCUUCAUUAUUAAAAGGGGUUCUUUUGCUGUGUGAGUGAGGCAAAUGACCAAAAGCCAUAUUUUUGUAAUUAAAAUGAAAUUUUUUUAUCAUAAUCGUUGAAAUGCCAAGUAAUACACAGGCUCAAAAAAUUUUUCAAGUUUUGAUACUAAGUUCUAGCUUGCGUAGCCAUUUGUGUGUGAUUUUGUUCAGACCUUCCUGAAUGCUUGUAAAAAAAUCCUUUGAAAUCUUUAAUGCCUUUGGAAAGGAUUGCAUUUUACAUGUAGAAAAUUUUCCAGCUCUAGCAUGAAAUUUUCUUCUCACACAUUUCAUUUGUGCAUCCUCUACUGUGUAAAGCCUCAAAUGUAAAAAUUCUAGAUUGGUAUACAGACAGCCAAAGUGUGAAACCAUGUAUUUAGGUUUGCAACAUUGCAGACUUCCUGUCAUUCUUUAUUUUCUCUUUUGAAAACCAGGGAACACAAUUUCUUUAAAACUUCCGUAAUUUUUCCUCUCUGUAAGUAGGAUAUUCUAUAUUUUCAAGCUCUGAAGUUGGCUUGUCUCUCUAAACAGAAAAUAAAAUAGGAGUUAAAAUUUUGAAACACUACAAUGGAUAUGCGUAGUUUCACACUCUGGCCAUUGGUGGCAUUCUUUAAAAUUGUUUCUUUCUUAGCCUCAAGCACUCUUAUAAAGAAAACAAUCUACGCUCAUACAAACCACUUGCGAAGCAAUGUCAUUUUUGCAAAUGUUCUUUAAUGAAUACUCGAAGUAUUAGAUUUUUAUUUCAAAACUUCUGUCCCUGUUUUCUGUAAGUCCAUGUUCUAGCUUAUUUAUUUCAUGAAUAUUGGGAUCAUUGUAUCUCCAAAAAAUUUCUACUUAUCGAAUUAGGAGAGUUUGAAACUCAUUUUGUAUAAUUUUGCAUCAGCAGUCACUCUUUGCAAUUAGUUGAAAUUAAAGUUUGUAUAUGUGUAAAAAUAAAAUAAUGCUGUCAAUAGGAAGUAGCCUUUGUGUAAAGGAUAUCUGUUUUUAUCGUAAAAUAUGAGAUUGUACAUAUUUUGGAGCCAUGAGGAAACUUCCAAGAAAAUUACCCUUCCUCUUACCUCUCAAUUUUAAAAGAUGUUUUUUGCGAUACCUCCGCAAGGUAAUGAAUUAAUGUAUAGCUAAUUCAAUUAACUUUAAGAUCCCUCUCAGAUAAUAAGAUUGACUCUUAAAUUGUUAUUUUUAUUCAAAAGUCAAAUUGAAACAUAAUAAAAAAUCAAUCAAGAAAAUUUUGUACAGAAUGUGAUAUGAGUUUCUCAUUGAAACAAAAUUUUAAUUGUGAAUAAAAAAUUGUUUUUGUUUUACGAAUUUGUGAUUAUGUAUUUUAAAAUUACCAUUUCCUUUGGUCAGAGAAAGACAAUUUUCGACAAUGCAACUAUUUUCUUAUCAGGUUCAAAAAUCUUAUUUUAAGGGAGUCACUGCCGUUUAGAAGUGACCAUUCGGAAAGCAUAACAGGGUUAUAGGACAUUUCGUCAAUGACUUUUUAUCCGGGCACCUGUUUUUCCUAGUUGUACACGUCCACGCGUUUUUUUCGGCAGGGGAGUUUUGGUCCACCGACCAAUUGAGACCCAAAGUUAAUCGGUCCACAUGUAAAUACAAACGAUAAUUUCUCACGACGUUUUUGGAUGCAAAUUUAGAAUGUCUUGAAAGAAUGAGGUGUUACUUAAUUUCUUUGUCUGUUUGGUCGGAGACUAAUACAAAUUUAUAAUUGAAAUUUCUAGUAAAAAAGGGGCAGCGGCAAUUCCACGAGGAAAAAAUCACAUCGCGCAACAUCGCGUUCGAUAAAAUCGAAAUUUUAUCUCAAAUUACCUCGAUUUUUUGUAUAAUAAUAUUGCGAUUAAUCGCCGUCGAUAAAAUAGAUAUUUUAUUGCUUUAUGUCAUGGAAUCGCAAUUCACUGCCAUUUUUUAUCCGAUAAUACCUAUUGCAAUAAAUCGACGUCGAUAAAAUCGCGAUGCGAUACGUUCUCCGAUCAAAUCGCAACGUAUUGUGAUUGCCGAUAGAAUCGCGAUUUUAUUGUUUUAGGCCUUGUCCACACGAGCGCGGUUCGCGGAACUCCGUUCGAGGAACUUGUUCCCGGAACAAGUUUUUAGCUGAGCUGAAACUGAUUCCUCCAAAACCCGCAAAUUCCCCCGUACUCCGCGAGCUUCUAAAUUUGUUUCUUUUGAUGUGAAUUCGCUUGUUUUUGUUUUUUACGUCCUUUACAUACCUUGACAUUUAUUUUUCUUAUACUUUGGCGGUCGUACUAAUCUAUUAUUUUGCAAUAAUUGUAUAGUUUUAUUGAAGUUCCGAUUCCAGUUCGGGCGAACUCGUGUGGACAGCAUGCCUCGUUUCAAGGAGUAAGUUCCGGGAACUGAGCAAGUUCGAGGAAUAAGUUCCGCGAACCGUGCUCGUGUGGACAAGGCCUUUCAUGAAAUUCUGCGAUGAAAUCGUUAUUUAUCGCAAUUUAUCGAGAUUUUUUAUCCGAUAUUAUUGCGAUAAAUCGCCGUCGAUAAAAUCGUGAUCUCAUUGCAAUGCAUGAAAUUCUGUGAUGAAAUCGCAAUUUUUUAUCCGAUGAUGCUGCAAUACAUCGACGUCGAUAAAAUUAGCGAUACAUUCUCCGAUCAAAUCGCAACUAAUCGCGAUCUUUGCUGCUCGGGUAGUGGUCCAUCGACCCACACGGUC
Molecule: long non-coding RNA, 5782 nt
Filed under: Bemisia tabaci
Lineage: Eukaryota; Metazoa; Arthropoda; Insecta; Hemiptera; Aleyrodidae
Description: lncRNA ENSASIAIIG001371
Source: RNAcentral